Molecule: small nucleolar RNA, 123 nt
Organism: Rattus norvegicus (Norway rat)
Lineage: Eukaryota; Metazoa; Chordata; Mammalia; Rodentia; Muridae
Product: small nucleolar RNA SNORA17
Source: Ensembl
UCUGCCCCUAGAGGCAUUACAGGUGUGGCUAUGUGUUGCCUGUGCCUCAGUAAGUGGCAGAGAAGAGAGUGAGUGGCUCGGUGUUCUGAUUUGUGAAUACCUGAAUGAUUGGCAGCCUACAAG